Molecule: ribosomal RNA, 87 nt
Filed under: Pyracantha sp. US:3527230
Lineage: Eukaryota; Viridiplantae; Streptophyta; Magnoliopsida; Rosales; Rosaceae
Description: partial 5.8S ribosomal RNA
Rfam family: 5.8S ribosomal RNA
About the family: 5.8S ribosomal RNA (5.8S rRNA) is a component of the large subunit of the eukaryotic ribosome. It is transcribed by RNA polymerase I as part of the 45S precursor that also contains 18S and 28S rRNA.
Source: RNAcentral
UGCAGAAUCCCGUGAACCAUCGAGUCUUUGAACGCAAGUUGCGCCCGAAGCCGUCAGGCCGAGGGCACGCCUGCCUGGGCGUCGCAC